AACUUUCAACAACGGAUCUCUUGGUUCCAGCAUCGAUGAAGAACGCAGCGAAAUGCGAUAAGUAAUGUGAAUUGCAGAAUUCAGUGAACCAUCGAAUCUUUGAACGCACAUUGCGCCCCUCGGUAUUCCGGGGGGCAUGCCUGUUCGAGCGUCAUU
Molecule: ribosomal RNA, 156 nt
Filed under: Parmelina tiliacea
Lineage: Eukaryota; Fungi; Ascomycota; Lecanoromycetes; Lecanorales; Parmeliaceae
Description: 5.8S ribosomal RNA
Rfam family: 5.8S ribosomal RNA
About the family: 5.8S ribosomal RNA (5.8S rRNA) is a component of the large subunit of the eukaryotic ribosome. It is transcribed by RNA polymerase I as part of the 45S precursor that also contains 18S and 28S rRNA. Functionally, it is thought that 5.8S rRNA may be involved in ribosome translocation.
Source: RNAcentral